AGUGAACGCUGGCGGUAGGCCUAACACAUGCAAGUCGAACGGCAGCACAGUAAGAGCUUGCUCUUACGGGUGGCGAGUGGCGGACGGGUGAGGAAUACAUCGGAAUCUACUUUUUCGUGGGGGAUAACGUAGGGAAACUUACGCUAAUACCGCAUACGACCUACGGGUGAAAGCAGGGGAUCUUCGGACCUUGCGCGAUUGAAUGAGCCGAUGUCGGAUUAGCUAGUUGGCGGGGUAAAGGCCCACCAAGGCGACGAUCCGUAGCUGGUCUGAGAGGAUGAUCAGCCACACUAGAACUGAGACACGGUCCAGACUCCUACGGGAGGCAGCAGUCGGGAAUAUUUGACAAUGGGCGCAAGCCUGAUCCAGCCAUACCGCGUGGGUGAAGAAGGCCUUCGGGUUGUAAAGCCCUUUUGUUGGGAAAGAAAAGCAGCAGGUUAAUACCCCGCUGUUCUGACGGUACCCAAAGAAUAAGCACCGGCUAACUUCGUG
This 492-nucleotide ribosomal RNA is filed under the name uncultured bacterium. RNAcentral's name for it is "partial 16S ribosomal RNA". It matches the Rfam family "Bacterial small subunit ribosomal RNA", at positions 29 to 507 of the family's 1533-position model. The record is from RNAcentral.